RNAcentral lists this unclassified non-coding RNA (234 nucleotides) under plant metagenome. RNAcentral's name for it is "partial contains small subunit ribosomal RNA, internal transcribed spacer 1, and 5.8S ribosomal RNA". The record is from RNAcentral.
UCUCCGUUGGUGAACCAGCGGAGGGACCAUUACCGAGUUAUUCUACUCCCAAACCCCUGUGAACUUAUACCUUUACUGUUGCUUCGGCGGGUUAACGCCCCGGAAGGCCCGCGUGGGCCGCCGGAACCAGGCGCCCGCCGGGGGACCCAAACUCUUGUAUCUUUUUUAUAGCAUGUCUGAGUGGAAUCAUAAACAAAUGAAUCAAAACUUUCAACAACGGAUCUCUUGGUUCUG